Molecule: ribosomal RNA, 492 nt
Filed under: uncultured bacterium
Lineage: Bacteria
Description: partial 16S ribosomal RNA
Rfam family: Bacterial small subunit ribosomal RNA
Source: RNAcentral
AGUGAACGCUGGCGGUAGGCCUAACACAUGCAAGUCGAACGGCAGCACGGUAAGAGCUUGCUCUUACGGGUGGCGAGUGGCGGACGGGUGAGGAAUACAUCGGAAUCUACUUUUUCGUGGGGGAUAACGUAGGGAAACUUACGCUAAUACCGCAUACGACCUACGGGUGAAAGCAGGGGAUCUUCGGACCUUGCGCGAUUGAAUGAGCCGAUGUCGGAUUAGCUAGUUGGCGGGGUAAAGGCCCACCAAGGCGACGAUCCGUAGCUGGUCUGAGAGGAUGAUCAGCCACACUGGAACUGAGACACGGCCCAGACUCCUACGGGAGGCAGCAGUGGGGAAUAUUGGACAAUGGGCGCAAGCCUGAUCCAGCCAUACCGCGUGGGUGAAGAAGGCCUUCGGGUUGUAAAGCCCUUUUGUUGGGAAAGAAAAGCAGCAGGUUAAUACCCCGCUGUUCUGACGGUACCCAAAGAAUAAGCACCGGCUAACUUCGUG